GACUCUGUGGCGCAGUGGUAGAGUGUCUGACUGCACAUCAGAAGGUUGCAUGUUCAAAUCCAUGCCAGGGUCA
Non-coding RNA from Solea senegalensis (Senegalese sole), 73 nucleotides. Lineage: Eukaryota; Metazoa; Chordata; Actinopteri; Pleuronectiformes; Soleidae. The record is from the annotation of a RefSeq genome assembly.